RNAcentral lists this ribosomal RNA (260 nucleotides) under uncultured bacterium. Its description in RNAcentral is "partial 16S ribosomal RNA". It matches the Rfam family "Bacterial small subunit ribosomal RNA", at positions 96 to 354 of the family's 1533-position model. The record is from RNAcentral.
CGGCGCACGGGUGAGUAACACGUAUGGAACCUGCCCGCCACAGGGGGAUAACCCGGGGAAACCCGGCCUAAUACCCCAUGCCGCCCGGACCGGGCAUCCGGACCGGGCGAAAGGAGGAAUCCGGUGGCGGCUGGGCAUGCGGCGCAUUAGCUUGACGGCGGGGUAACGGCCCACCGUGGCGACGAUGCGUAGGGGUUCUGAGAGGAAGGCCCCCCACACUGGAACUGAGACACGGUCCAGACUCCUACGGAAGGCAGCAG